GCACCGGCUAACUACGUGCCAGCAGCCGCGGUAAUACGUAGGGUGCAAGCGUUAUCCGGAAUUAUUGGGCGUAAAGAGCUCGUAGGCGGUUUGUCGCGUCUGCUGUGAAAACUGGAGGCUCAACCUCCAGCCUGCAGUGGGUACGGGCAGACUAGAGUGCGGUAGGGGAGAUUGGAAUUCCUGGUGUAGCGGUGGAAUGCGCAGAUAUCAGGAGGAACACCGAUGGCGAAGGCAGAUCUCUGGGCCGUAACUGACGCUGAGGAGCGAAAGCAUGGGGAGCGAACAGGAUUAGAUACCCUGGUAGUCCAUGCCGUAAACGUUGGGAACUAGAUGUAGGGACCAUUCCACGGUUUCUGUGUCGCAGCUAACGCAUUAAGUUCCCCGCCUGGGGAGUACGGCCGCAAGGCUAAAACUCAAAGGAAUUGACGGGGGCCCGCACAAGCGGCGGAGCAUGCGGAUUAAUUCGAUGCAACGCGAAGAACCUUACCAAGACUUGACAUAUACGAGAACGGGCUAGAAAUAGUUCACUCUUUGGACACUCGUAAACAGGUGGUGCAUGGUUGUCGUCAGCUCGUGUCGUGAGAUGUUGGGUUAAGUCCCGCAACGAGCGCAACCCUCGUUCUUUGUUGCCAGCACGUAAUGGUGGGAACUCAAAGGAGACUGCCGGGGUCAACUCGGAGGAAGGUGGGGAUGACGUCAAAUCAUCAUGCCCCUUAUGUC
This 720-nucleotide ribosomal RNA is filed under the name Leifsonia sp. i4(2010). Its description in RNAcentral is "bacterial SSU rRNA". It matches the Rfam family "Bacterial small subunit ribosomal RNA", at positions 490 to 1208 of the family's 1533-position model. Lineage: Bacteria; Bacillati; Actinomycetota; Actinomycetes; Micrococcales; Microbacteriaceae. The record is from RNAcentral.